RNAcentral lists this transfer RNA (76 nucleotides) under Mediterraneibacter gnavus. RNAcentral's name for it is "tRNA-Arg". It matches the Rfam family "tRNA". Rfam says of the family: Transfer RNA (tRNA) molecules are approximately 80 nucleotides in length. Their secondary structure includes four short double-helical elements and three loops (D, anti-codon, and T loops). Lineage: Bacteria; Bacillati; Bacillota; Clostridia; Lachnospirales; Lachnospiraceae. RNAcentral also lists the same sequence under 1 other name. The record is from RNAcentral.
CGAGUCUGUAGCUCAGCUGGAUAGAGCAACGGCCUUCUAAGCCGUAGGUCGAGGGUUCGAAUCCCCCCAGGCUCGG